GGCACGGUGGUGAAGGCUUGCCUUUACCAGCCGGCGACCGGCGCACGGGUGAGUAACACGUAUGCAACCUGCCUGCCACAGCCGGAUAAUCGGGAGAAAUCCCGUCUAAUACGGCAUAAUGCACCUAUGGGACAUCCUGUUGGUGCCAAAGGUUAAUUCCGGUGGCGGAUGGGCAUGCGUCGCAUUAGUUAGUUGGCGGUGUAACGGACCACCAAGACGACGAUGCGUAGGGGUUCUGAGAGGAAGGUCCCCCACACUGGUACUGAGACACGGACCAGACUCCUACGGGAGGCAGCAGUGAGGAAUAUUGGUCAAUGGGCGGGAGCCUGAACCAGCCAAGUCGCGUGAGGGAUGACGGCCCUAUGGGUUGUAAACCUCUUUUGCCGGGGAGCAAAGUGCCGCACGUGUGCGGUUUGGAGAGUACCCGGAGAAAAAGCAUCGGCUAACUCCGUGCCAGCAGCCGCGGUAAUACGGAGGAUGCGAGCGUUAUCCGGAUUUAUUGGGUUUAAAGGGUGCGUAGGCGGACGCUUAAGUCAGCGGUAAAAUUGCGGGGCUCAACCUCGUCGAGCCGUUGAAACUGGGUGUCUUGAGUGGGCGAGAAGUACGCGGAAUGCGUGGUGUAGCGGUGAAAUGCAUAGAUAUCACGCAGAACUCCGAUUGCGAAGGCAGCGUACCGGCGCCCAACUGACGCUGAAGCACGAAGGCGUGGGUAUCGAACAGGAUUAGAUACCCUGGUAGUCCACGCAGUAAACGAUGAAUGCUAGUUGUC
This 769-nucleotide ribosomal RNA is filed under the name uncultured bacterium. RNAcentral describes it as "bacterial SSU rRNA". It matches the Rfam family "Bacterial small subunit ribosomal RNA", at positions 66 to 824 of the family's 1533-position model. The record is from RNAcentral.